UACGUAGGGGGCAAGCGUUGUCCGGAUUUAUUGGGCGUAAAGAGCGUGUAGGCGGCCAGGUAGGUCUGCUGUGAAAACUCGAGGCUUAACCUCGAGCUGUCGGCGGAAACCAUCUGGCUAGAGUCCGGAAGAGGAGAAUGGAAUUCCCGGUGUAGUGGUGAAAUGCGCAGAUAUCAGGAAGAACACCCGUGGCGAAAGCGGCUCUCUGGGACGGUACUGACGCUGAGACGCGAAAGCGUGGGGAGCGAACAGG
Molecule: ribosomal RNA, 253 nt
Filed under: uncultured bacterium
Lineage: Bacteria
Description: partial 16S ribosomal RNA
Rfam family: Bacterial small subunit ribosomal RNA
Source: RNAcentral